CAGCCGCCACGGUAAUACGAGGGGGGCAAGUGUUGUUCGGAAUUAUUGGGCGUAAAGGGUGCGUAGGCGGAUUCUUAAGUCUGAUGUGAAAGCCCCCGGCUCAACCGGGGAGGGUCAUUGGAAACUGGGAAACUUGAGUGCAGAAGAGGAGAGUGGAAUUCCACGUGUAGCGGUGAAAUUCGUAGAUAUUCGGAAGAACUCCAGUGGCGAAGGCGGCUCACUGGACGACUGUUGACGCUGAGGUGCGAAAGCGUGAGGAGCAAACAGGAUUAGAUACCCGAGUAGUCCCUGUCUCUUAUAC
RNAcentral lists this ribosomal RNA (301 nucleotides) under uncultured bacterium. RNAcentral's name for it is "partial 16S ribosomal RNA". It matches the Rfam family "Bacterial small subunit ribosomal RNA", at positions 509 to 807 of the family's 1533-position model. The record is from RNAcentral.